GUAGGCCCUUCGGGGUACACGAGCGGCGAACGGGUGAGUAACACGUGAGCAACCUGCCCCUGACUCCGGGAUAAGCGGUGGAAACGCCGUCUAAUACCGGAUACGACCCUCCUCCGCAUGGUGGGGGGUGGAAAGUUUUUCGGUCGGGGAUGGGCUCGCGGCCUAUCAGCUUGUUGGUGGGGUAAAGGCCUACCAAGGCGAUUACGGGUAGCCGGCCUGAGAGGGCGACCGGCCACACUGGGACUGAGACACGGCCCAGACUCCUGCGGGAGGCAGCAGUGGGGAAUAUUGCGCAAUGGGCGAAAGCCUGACGCAGCGACGCCGCGUGGGGGAUGACGGCCUUCGGGUUGUAAACCUCUUUUACCACCAACGCAGGCUCCACGUUCUCGUGGGGUUGACGGUAGGUGGGGAAUAAGGACCGGCUAACUACGUGCCAGCAGCCGCGGUAAUACGUAGGGUCCGAGCGUUGUCCGGAAUUAUUGGGCGUAAAGAGCUCGUAGGCGGCGUGUCGCGUCCGCUGUGAAAGACCGGGGCUCAACUCCGGUUCUGCAGUGGAUACGGGCAUGCUAGAGGUAGGUAGGGGAGACUGGAAUUCCUGGUGUAGCGGUGAAAUGCGCAGAUAUCAGGAGGAACACCGGUGGCGAAGGCGGGUCUCUGGGCCUUACCUGACGCUGAGGAGCGAAAGCAUGGGGAGCGAACAGGAUUAG
This 707-nucleotide ribosomal RNA is filed under the name Actinomycetes bacterium. Its description in RNAcentral is "bacterial SSU rRNA". It matches the Rfam family "Bacterial small subunit ribosomal RNA", at positions 69 to 781 of the family's 1533-position model. The record is from RNAcentral. Lineage: Bacteria; Bacillati; Actinomycetota; Actinomycetes.